AACACCACCCACCACCCAGAAGGAAUAUCUUUUUGGUUAAGAAUUCUUGAGUUGGCAAAGCAUUUUGACCAGAAAGAUCCCUCUGUUCAUCAUGAUUCUAGAGUUCAUCCCACAACAAGUCCUGCAGCUACAAGUGUUGGAGCUUCACCUGAUCAUAAUUUUGAUGACCAUACACAUAAUCUUUCCAGGAUCCCUUCCCAAGGAGCUGAGGUUGUUGCUAGAUAUCAGGACAAUCAGAAUGAAACGACAGCUACAAUCCCCCCUAACUCACCAUAGAAAAUUACUUUUAUGUUUAUACUAAUGGCAAUUAAAGGGGUAAGAUUUUCGAUAUUAUUUGUAUUUUUCUUUCCUUUGAUUAGGGUUUUAAUUUGCUACCCCUUAUCCAAUAAUAAUAAUAAAUAUUUAAGGAAGUUUUCAUGUAUGUUUCUGAUUUGGAUUUUUUAAAUAGGAAUAGCGGAUGUAUUGCCAAACAAAGGUGUUUAUAGCAUGAUUGUGGCCUGAUGUUUUCCAUGUUGAUGGUCUGUUGUUUUAUGCUUUUCUGUAUCUGCUCCAAUGCUUCUUAGCUACUGUUUUGUGGAGGCUUCAAUCCAUUUGUUGCUGCUGUUUUCGAAUGCCUGGGUUUUGCUUUGAUUUUAACUAUGCGUGGGCUCAUCGUCAAUAUGUAUAUUAUGAAAUAGGCCGAGAAAAGCUAGCUUGCUGAAUUUUUCUUGUCUAUAAAGCCUAAUUAUCAUCAAUUUUAAAUAUAAAUAUGUUAAAUUUUAAUAUAUACGUCAGUUUUGUCUAAACUCACUUUGCUAUGACUCAAGAUAUUGGAUAUGUGAGUCUUUUAUGAAAAAAUUAAAUAGAAUCUUCGUUUAUAUAUUUUGGUUACAUUAUUAUUUAUUUAAAAAAAAAUUAUGAUUUAUAUAUAGAGUUCAAACAUAAUAUAUACGAAAAAAAAAUUAUUUAAAUUCAAUGUACCGUAAAUCUAGAUAUAAACAAGUGAAUCUCUAUGAAAAAAUUAGAUAGAAUCUAUUUUCAUGUGUUUUGGUUAUAUGAUUAUCUGUCUAAGAAUUUUUCAUAUGAUUCAUAUAAAUUAACACAAAAAUUUUUCAUUCCAUCAAAUUUUAUAUUCAAAAAUUGAACAAAUAUAUAUUUUAGUGCCGAUUUUUAUAAAAAAAAAAAAUCAAUUAACACAAUAACUUUUUAAUAUUAAUAACCUUUUGACUCUAACCGUUUAAUAUUUAACUUUUUUUUUUUUUGAAAUAACAAGAAAACUUCAUUAAUUCAAAGAGAACAAAGAAAUAAUAUGAGGAGGAGGGAUAUCAAUCCAAACUCCUUGACCUGACUCAGAAUGAGCCGAUAUUGCUAGAACAUGAGCGACAUCAUUCGCAGAUCUAUGAACAAAAACACACUUUGCUUCCUCAUAACUAAAUAGAAGCAGUUUACAAUCUUGAACCAAAAGGCCAAAAGACGAUAAAUCAUCUAACAAAACACAAUUAACUGACAUCACAAGUACCUGAGCAUCGAAUUCGAAAAGAACUCGAUCCCAUCCACACUCUUUAAUCCAGCUCAAUGCUUCCCGGAAUGCUAUAGCUUCAGCACACUUUGCAUCCAUCUGGCUAUAAAAAGAGCCUGCUCUAGCAGCCACAAAACUCACAUAAUAUUAUAUAUUUUUCAACUCUCUUCAUUAGUUCUGAUAAGGUGUUUGGUGGCUUUCGGCAUAAGGACCCGAAGAAUUCUAAAGAGGUCAUUCCCCUUUAUAUGGCCUUUACCGCUCUUGCUUCGUCUGGUUCGGGUAUCUGCAAAACCUCCAAGUUGAAUCUGGCUACAUACUCUCUCAAGAACUCGUUUCUCCUUUGUUUAACUAUUUUCAGGUAACUUGUCUUCUUUCUUGCUGGGACUCCGGUAAUAAACCUACUGAUGAAUACAUUGGUUAGAUUGACAAAGUUCCUUAUACUUCCUAGUUUUAGGCUAUUAAACCAUGUCUAGCUGGUCCUGUCAAGGUCGUGGGGAAGACUUUGCACAUCAAAGCAUCAGAGUGCGUUUGCAACUCCAUAAAGGUAUCACGUCCCACAACAGUAAAUUACAGAAUAAUGAAAUUGAAUAUAAUAGCUAGUACGAAACUACUAAAUAACUUGGGUUAACCAUUUUGGGCCAAGUGAAAAAUGAAUCCAAAAGUUAUUUAGGUUAGUUUGGAUCGAAAUGUUUCAAUUGGUAUAAGAGCCACACUAGGUCAAAAAAUUAUGCAGAGCUAGUGGGCCUGCGAGGAAAGGGCUACUCGUACAGAACGAGGUGGAGCCGCCCGAGGCAUUAGUGAACCAUAAUAUCCGAGAGUCUAGUCCUGGCAUAGCAAUUGUAUCCAAUUCAGCGUAGCAAGAUCACAACGGGAACAUUGCUGAAUUUAGUGGAGAGUUGUGGAGCCCACUUUGCUUGUGGGAUGAUUCCCAUAUAUUAGCUAAGCUAUACACUACUAAAUAGCUUGGGUUAACCAUUUUGGAUCAAGUAAAAAAUAGGUCCAAAAGUUAUUUGGGUCAGUUUGGGUCGGACUGUUAUAAUUGGUAUCAGAGCCACCCUUGGUCAGAAAAAUUAUACGGAGCUAGUGGGCUUGUGAGAAAAGGGCUACCCGUGUGAAACGAGGUGGACACGCCCGAGUCACUAGCGAACCAUAAUACCUGGGGGUCCGAUCUUAGCAUAUCAAUUGUACUCAAUUCAGCACAACUAGAUCACAACAAGGACAUUGCAAAAUUGAGUAAGGGAGAAUUAUCACAUCCUACAUCGGCAAAUUACGGAAUAACAAAAUUGAAUAUAAUAGUUAGUAUAAAAUUACUAAAUAAUUUAGGUUAACGAUUUUGGACCAAGUGAAAAAUGGGUCCAAAAGUUAUUUGGGUCAGUUUGGGCCGGACUGUUAUAAAAGGUCUUGUAAUUCAACACGUGAUCCCGUAGUUUUUCUGCUCCAUCAUAUAUAGCCAAUGUCGACAUCAUAAACUUUUUUGGUAUAAUCUCGAAUUGGACCCUCUUGACAAAUGGUGAGGAGGCCGACAUCAUGAACUUCUUUGGUAUAGUCUUGAAUUGGACCUUCUUGACAAAUGGUAACGUGGUCGGCAACAUUGGACUGACAUUAUCCUUGGCUCUGAGCUCCAUCAACAACUGCUCUUUUGUUUUCCACAAACGACGCCAAUUGAUGAUUGAAAUCUAAAAUGGUUUUGGGAUUAGGUGCAUUUUUUUUAAUGAGCUCCCUUGUUGUUUGAUCAUUCCCCUUUUUAUUUCUAUUUCUUUUUGUCUUUUUCGGGUGUGCCUUCUCCGUACUACACUCUUACCUGUCUGCCACCUUCAUGCGGACAACAUGUUCAUGAGUAUGAGAUAUUGAUUCUCGUCAGGCGACUAUUUAAUUCUUCUUGGCCUUUUUGGACAGGAUCCCUAUUAUUGCAGGCUUUGUUCUCAUGCGGUCGUUGAUAAUUAGUCAAAUUCAUUUGCCCUGAACUCCUUUGAACCUUAUUUGGUCCAUAGGCUUAGACCAUAUGCGCUGUGAGCCUGUAUUGGAUUGGCCUAGACCCUUUUUGAUUUGGACUGUAGCAGGCUUGGCGGUCCGAGACCCAUUAAUCAUCACUGCAAAAUUGUGAUCAUAGUCAUUUUGUAACAAAAUUAUAAUUACUCUUAAAAGAAUAAUUAUUAGUAAUAACAAAUAUGGUUACUAAAAAAAUUUUUUAUUAAUGCCACCAUGAUUUUUGGUGAUAUAAUUAUUUGAAUUAUUUUUAUAUAUUAAUUAAUUUAAUAGUAAUUAAUAUUCUUAUAAAUUUUUUGCCGUUAAUUCUUGUAUUUGUUGUAGUGAUUUGAUUUUGACGAAAUUUUAUUCCUUGGAAAAAAUAUUUGAUGACGGGUGAUAGGGGAGAAGUUGUUGGGCAGCUGGACAAGAUUUGUUGUGAUCAUAUGGUUUUUUGUGGUGCUAAUCAUAUCCCAAAGCUACACUGCUAGUUUAGCUUCAAUGUUAACAGUGAAGAGAAUGCAGCCUACCUUUGCUGAUGUUAAAGAGAUUCAAAGGAAUGGUCAUUUUGUAGGAUACCAAAGCAAUUCUUUUGUGAAGGAUUUCUUAAUAAAACAGCUGAACUUCAGUGAGUCCAAGUUGAAAAAUUAUAGCACCCCAGAAGAUUAUGCUGAAGCAUUGUCUCUUGGAAUCCACAAUGGUGGUGUUGCUGCUAUUUUUUAUGAAAUUCCUUACAUCAAACUCUUUUUGGCCAAAUUUUGCUCCAAAUUCCAAAUGGUGGGGCCAACCUACAAAACAGAUGGAUUUGGCUUUGUAAGUCUUCUCUCUAGCUCCAACUAUGCUCAUAUUUUCGUAUAUUAUAGUUUUAUUCACCGUCUUAAAAAGAAGGGGAGAUUUAUAAAACAACGUACUGGAUACCAUUAUAAUUGAAUCACUGUUUUUUCUGUGUUAGGCCUUUCCACUUGGGUCCCCAUUAGUGUCAAAUAUUUCAAGAGCAAUCUUGAUUGUGACUCAAGACAAAGGUAAAAUGGACAGAAUAGAGCGGAGUAACUUUCCUGACGAGAAUGCAUGUGAUGAUCAAAUUGCCCCAAACUCUUCAGGUAGUCUUAGUGUGACCAGCUUUGGGGGCUUGUUCAUCAUCACAGGACUUGCUUCCAUUUUUUCUCUAUUGAUUCAUAUCAUGAAGUUCAUUUGGUUUCAUUGGCCUAUUUCAAACACCACCCACCACCCAGAAGGAAUAUCUUUUUGGUUAAGAAUUCUUGAGUUGGCAAAGCAUUUUGACCAGAAAGAUCCCUCUGUUCAUCAUGAUUCUAGAGUUCAUCCCACAACAAGUCCUGCAGCUACAAGUGUUGGAGCUUCACCUGAUCAUAAUUUUGAUGACCAUACACAUAAUCUUUCCAGGAUCCCUUCCCAAGGAGCUGAGGUUGUUGCUAGAUAUCAGGACAAUCAGAAUGAAACGACAGCUACAAUCCCCCCUAACUCACCAUAGAAAAUUACUUUUAUGUUUAUA
RNAcentral lists this long non-coding RNA (4973 nucleotides) under Manihot esculenta (cassava). RNAcentral's name for it is "long non-coding RNA (MESC_LNC007510)". Lineage: Eukaryota; Viridiplantae; Streptophyta; Magnoliopsida; Malpighiales; Euphorbiaceae. The record is from RNAcentral.